Molecule: ribosomal RNA, 497 nt
Filed under: uncultured bacterium
Lineage: Bacteria
Description: partial 16S ribosomal RNA
Rfam family: Bacterial small subunit ribosomal RNA
Source: RNAcentral
GAUGAACGCUGGCGGCGUGCCUAAUACAUGCAAGUCGAGCGAACAGACGAGGAGCUUGCUCCUUUGACGUUAGCGGCGGACGGGUGAGUAACACGUAGGUAACCUACCUAUAAGACUGGGAUAACUUCGGGAAACCGGAGCUAACACCGGAUAAUAUUUCGAACCGCAUGGUUCGAUAGUGAAAGACGGCUUUGCUAUCACUUAUAGAUGGACCUGCGCCGUAUUAGCUAGUUGGUAAGGUAACGGCUUACCAAGGCAACGAUACGUAGCCGACCUGAGAGGGUGAUCGGCCACACUGGAACUGAGACACGGUCCAGACUCCUACGGGAGGCAGCAGUAGGGAAUCUUCCGCAAUGGGCGAAAGCCUGACGGAGCAACGCCGCGUGAGUGAUGAAGGUCUUCGGAUCGUAAAACUCUGUUAUUAGGGAAGAACAAACGUGUAAGUAACUGUGCACGUCUUGACGGUACCUAAUCAGAAAGCCACGGCUAACUACGUG